UUGAAAGGGAAACGAUUGAAGUCAGUCGUACUGACGGGAAAUCAACUUCUCGAGUGCUUGUCGUGGAUGACGUUGAGCUUCACGGCCUUCGUUGUUUACGUUAUGGUGCUUUUGAGGUGUACUUUUCCGUAUGGUAGGUCAACAUCGAUUUUGAUCGUCAUAAAAUGAUCGGAGGAAUGUGGCUCUGGUCUUGUAUCGGAGUGUUAUAGCCUUUGGUAGAUGUGACGAUUGGGAUCGAGGAUUGCAACGAAUACCCUUUGGGCUAUCCGUCUGACCUCUGAAAGUCGCUCGGGUGUUGAAAGCGUGCUUAUGACAUUCUAGUUGGCGGUCAAAAGGUUAGAACGUGAUUACAUUCCUUAAGGAUGC
Molecule: ribosomal RNA, 366 nt
Filed under: uncultured Glomeromycotina
Lineage: Eukaryota; Fungi; Glomeromycota
Description: eukaryotic LSU rRNA
Source: RNAcentral